RNAcentral lists this ribosomal RNA (348 nucleotides) under uncultured bacterium. Its description in RNAcentral is "bacterial SSU rRNA". It matches the Rfam family "Bacterial small subunit ribosomal RNA", at positions 28 to 373 of the family's 1533-position model. The record is from RNAcentral.
GACGAACGCUGGCGGCGUGCUUAACACAUGCAAGUCGAGCGACUGCAUUCUUUUCGGAGGGUGUAUGGAGCGGCGAACGGGUGAGUAACACGUGAGUAAUCUGCCUUUGGCUUGGGAAUAACUUCGGGAAAUCGGGGCUAAUGCCUGAUGUUCACUGUCUGCUGCAUGGUGGGUGGUGGAAAGAUUUUUUGGCCAGGGAGUGAGCUCGCGGUCUAUCAGCUGUUGGUGGGGUAAUGGCUUACCAAGCUUUGACGGGUAGCCGGCCUGAGAGGGUGUUCGGCCACACUGGGACUGAGACACGGCCCUAGGACUCCUACGGGAGGCAGCAGUGGGGAAUAUUGCGCAAGU